AAAGUCGUAACAAGGUUUCCGUAGGUGAACCUGCGGAAGGAUCAUUAUUGUGGGGCUUCGGCCCUCUCGAGAUAGAACCCUUGCCUUUUUGAGUACCUUCGUUUCCUUGGCAGGCUCGCCUGCCAAUAGGGACCCCAAAAAACCCUUUGUAAUACCUGUAAUCGUCUGACAAAACAAACAAAAAUUAAAACUUUCAACAACGGAUCUCUUAGUUCUG
This 217-nucleotide unclassified non-coding RNA is filed under the name fungal sp. Its description in RNAcentral is "partial contains small subunit ribosomal RNA, internal transcribed spacer 1, and 5.8S ribosomal RNA". The stretch from base 1 to 47 matches the Rfam family "Eukaryotic small subunit ribosomal RNA", at positions 1785 to 1831 of the family's 1831-position model. The record is from RNAcentral. Lineage: Eukaryota; Fungi.